RNAcentral lists this long non-coding RNA (560 nucleotides) under Pan troglodytes (chimpanzee). RNAcentral describes it as "long non-coding RNA NONPTRT005706". The record is from RNAcentral. Lineage: Eukaryota; Metazoa; Chordata; Mammalia; Primates; Hominidae.
CAGCUCAUUCUGAGCCCAGGAGCCUGGGAAGCUUUCCGACGGAGCAGCAGGGCCAUCAAGUCAGCAUAGACGGGGCACCAUGUGACUGACCUUUCUGCUCACAACGCUCCCUGCUGUCGGGCUAAACGUAAUUGAGGAAAGGCAGGGGUGGGGUUAGCAGGCAGGACACGGAGAAUUGCCCAUUACCCACAAGAGUAAGCAGCCCUCCUUGAUGGCCUCAGCCUCAGGUUUGCAGUACAAACAUGUCGAUUGUCUCUGGUCUAGAAUGUGGACUCCAGAAGGCAGAAAAAAUGUAGAGACACUUCUCUGAGAUGGGAUCUGCCCCCAGCAACCAGCAACAUUUAUUCAAGCUGCACCUGGGGCCUCAUGCUGAUGGGGUCAGGUGGUCCAAAUGUGAGAGAGAGAAAGUCUGAGUCAGAGGAAGACAAAGACAGAGAGACAGAAACAGAAAUGCAGAGACAGAGUCACAGAGAGAGGCUGCCUGGGUUCACUUGGCUCUGGGCCUUGAGAAAUCCUUGUGUGCUGUAACCCACCCCUUUAUUUUUCCAAUAAACUCCCCU